This 460-nucleotide ribosomal RNA is filed under the name uncultured Sphingobacteriales bacterium. Its description in RNAcentral is "bacterial SSU rRNA". It matches the Rfam family "Bacterial small subunit ribosomal RNA", at positions 920 to 1382 of the family's 1533-position model. The record is from RNAcentral. Lineage: Bacteria; Pseudomonadati; Bacteroidota; Sphingobacteriia; Sphingobacteriales.
CCCGCACAAGCGGUGGAGCAUGUGGUUUAAUUCGAUGAUACGCGAGGAACCUUACCUGGGCUCAAAUGUAUGUUGACGUAUUCUGAAAGGGAUACUUCUUCGGACAAUAUACAAGGUGCUGCAUGGUUGUCGUCAGCUCGUGCCGUGAGGUGUCGGGUUAAGUCCCAUAACGAGCGCAACCCCUAUCAUUAGUUGCCAUCAGGUCAAGCUGGGGACUCUAAUGAAACUGCCUACGCAAGUAGUGAGGAAGGUGGGGAUGACGUCAAAUCAGCACGGCCCUUACGUCCAGGGCUACACACGUGCUACAAUGGCCGGUACAAAGGGCAGCUACCUGGUGACAGGAUGCUAAUCUCAAAAGCCGGUCUCAGUUCGGAUCGGAGUCUGCAACCCGACUCCGUGGAGCUGGAAUCGCUAGUAAUCGCGCAUCAGCCAUGGCGCGGUGAAUACGUUCCCGGGCCUU